Molecule: long non-coding RNA, 424 nt
Filed under: Brachypodium distachyon (stiff brome)
Lineage: Eukaryota; Viridiplantae; Streptophyta; Magnoliopsida; Poales; Poaceae
Description: long non-coding RNA (BDIS_LNC004295)
Source: RNAcentral
GUCAUUAUAUCUGCCUUCUGCCCACCACGGUUAUUUACUUGUAUUCCCCUGAAUGUAUGAUGGAUGGAAGUCCUCUGUUCCGCUCACAGGAAACUUCAAUCAUCCAGACUCCAUCUGGAGCCAUCAGAUUUCCAUCUGCAAAAGUCGAAUACGACCUUGGAUGUACAAUUAGAGACGAACUGAUCAAACUGUUCCUCCUACAUGGCCUCGAAAGAUCGCCAUGUCGUAAGACUGCCUCUAGAUAGCCUCUCGUCUCAAGACAAACCAAUGAAUUUCAGAAGUUUCAGGCUCCAUCACAGUUUUUGAGGAUGGUUUCCCCAUUGAGUUCUAUCAGACAUGUUGGGACAUAAUUAAAGAUGACCUGAUGGCAUUGUUUCAUGAGUUUCAUGCUGGGAGACUUGAUCUUAGCAGAAUCAAUUUUGGG